Molecule: long non-coding RNA, 1859 nt
Filed under: Solanum lycopersicum (tomato)
Lineage: Eukaryota; Viridiplantae; Streptophyta; Magnoliopsida; Solanales; Solanaceae
Description: long non-coding RNA (SLYC_LNC000705)
Source: RNAcentral
UAAUUUGAUUUUCAAAAGGAUUCUCUCUCUUUAGUCAAUCAAUUUCAAACAUGUGAAUAGGUAGGAUUUUGUCUUCUCCGUGGUUGUCUUCUUCCAUUUUUUUUCAAAAAAUUUUCCUAAUACAUAUGUGACAACCCCCUUCAUUUAGUAUUGGGUUUAAUCUACUAAGUUCUUCUAAUACUAAUAUGAGAUCUUGGGGUUCAUCUCGUCCUCCUUCAAAAUGUUGGUGACGAUAGACUUGCUAUGACAAUGUAUUGACAAGGUUUUUAUUGCAUCCAGUGGACCACCACAAGUGCAGCAACAAUCUGAUACAUUAUUGAUAUGUUGAGAAGGUUAAAGAGAAGCUAAUUAGAUUAUUUUUUUUCUUCUUAUUUAUCUUUUUUGAUAUAUAUGAAUUCAAAUCUAUAUAUAUAUAUAUAUAUAUAUAUAUAUAUAUAUAUAUAUAUAUAAAUCUGAAUCUUGAUCCGCUGAUGUGGCGCCCUCCAAUGGCCAGCAUUUGCCAAUAUCUAUUUUUAUCUUUUUCUGAUUUAUUUUUUAUUUUUAUCUCAAAACAAAUACAUAAAUGAGUAAAAACAUCACACUAAAUACUAUAACUAAUUACUUGCUCAGUUAUAGCCAAAAAAUGCAGUCCAACCCAUUUAAAACUCAGCUCACUAACAUCACAUUAAUUACCCAAAUUAAAUAGAUUUUAAAUCAAUUUUUUUUAAAAUUACUCACUCCUCAAAUUUGAAAUUGUUAUAAAGAAUUAUUUGUUGAAUUGCUAUCUUUAGACUUUAUGGCAACAUUUAUUGUUAUUUCAAUUUAAAAACACAUUAUGAUUUUGUUAAAAUACUUAUUACUUAUUCAAUCCAUAAAAAUUAUAGUUAUAUAUAAUAUAAAAUUAUUUCUUUCAUCUCCUUUAUUCGUUUUUAUAUUUAUUCUUUUCCUCUUUUAUUUAUUUUUACAAUUUCAUAUUUAUAACUUAUACCUAUUAAAUUUCUACUUUUAAUACUAUCAUUAAUUCUUUUAAUAUUAAAUUUUCAUAUUGAUAACCCCCAAGUAUUUAAUUACAAUAUUUAAGACACUUUAUGAUAUAUUCUCAAAUUUUACCUUUAUAAUUUCAUAAUAUUUUGUACCAUGGAUCCCAACUCAAAAUUAUUCAUUUUAUUUCAAUGCUAAUCUUUAUAUUAUUAUGGGAAUGGGGAAUCCCAUCUUAUUAUUAUAGGAUCAUAUAUUCAUAUUCAACAUAAGUUGAUGAAGAAGACUCUUUGAUAAGAGUUUCAAAAAUAUGCACUAAUUCUGUAUUUCUAUUUUGAUGUAUUCUCUUGUGAUUAAUGUGUGUUCUCUCCAUGUAAAUUAAGAUUUUCUUAACUUUCAUUGUUAAUCUUUAUAUUAUUAUCGGAUCGAAUUUAUCUUGUGGCAUAACUUGAUAAAAAAGGUUUUUGAAUGUUAAUUAGUUUGUCAAAAGGGAUGUGGGAUAAGAGUAACAAAAAUUGUGCAUUGAUUAUGCAUUAUUACUUUCAUGUGUUUUCUUAUGAUUAAGGUCCUAAGGAAAAUAUGUGUGUUGUUUGUUCUCUCCAUGUAAAUCAAGAUUUUUUUUUAUUUCAUUGUUAAUCUUUAUAUUAUUGUAGGAUCGAAUUUAUUUUUUGGUAUAACUCAACGAAGAAGGCUCUUGGAUGUUAGUUUGCCAAAAGGGAUGUCGGAUAAGAGUAACAAAAAUUGUGCAUUGAUUAUACAUUAUUAUUUUUAUGUAUUUUCUUAUGAUUAAGGUCCUAAGGAACUAAGAAAGAUAGAUGUGUUGUGUGUUCUCUCCAUGUAACUCAAGAUUAUUUUUUUUAUUUCAUUGUUAAUAUUUAUAAAUAUUAUUAUUAUUAUUAUAG